AUUGAACGCUGGCGGCAUGCUUUACACAUGCAAGUCGAACGGUAACAGGUUAAGCUGACGAGUGGCGAACGGGUGAGUAAUGCAUCGGAACGUGCCCGAUCGUGGGGGAUAACGCAGCGAAAGCUGCGCUAAUACCGCAUACGAUCUGAGGAUGAAAGCGGGGGACCGUAAGGCCUCGCGCGAUCGGAGCGGCCGAUGUCAGAUUAGGUAGUUUGUGGGGUAAAGGCCCACCAAGCCGACGAUCUGUAGCUGGUCUGAGAGGACGACCAGCCACACUGGGACUGAGACACGGCCCAGACCCCUACGGGAGGCGGCAGUGGGGAAUUUUGGACAAUGGGCGAAAGCCUGAUCCAGCAAUGCCGCGUGCAGGAAGAAGGCCUUCGGGUUGUAAACUGCUUUUGUACGGAGCGAAAAGGUCCUUUCUAAUACAAGGGGCUCAUGACGGUACCGUAAGAAUAAGCACCGGCUAACUACGUGCCAGCCGCCGCGGUAA
This 493-nucleotide ribosomal RNA is filed under the name uncultured bacterium. Its description in RNAcentral is "partial 16S ribosomal RNA". It matches the Rfam family "Bacterial small subunit ribosomal RNA", at positions 30 to 523 of the family's 1533-position model. The record is from RNAcentral.